Molecule: long non-coding RNA, 401 nt
Organism: Panicum hallii
Lineage: Eukaryota; Viridiplantae; Streptophyta; Magnoliopsida; Poales; Poaceae
Exons: 2
Source: RefSeq, a predicted model, not a curated record
GAAAAUUGCGGCAUCACUUGACCAGCGCUGCGACUACCCAGCGGUGUCUCUCUCGCCUCCGGCCUACAAGUACUACAGGGAGAGUGAGCGCAGCAAGGAAGAUUAGGGACUUACGGCGCCCCUGGACGCCGGGUUAUGAGGGAAAUUGGCAGCGAGGGGCAGUGCAGCUAGGGGAGGAGGAAGAGGGACGGUGGUGAAAGGGAUGGGAUGGGGUCGUGGACAACUGGAAAGAGGCAAAAGAGGGUGGAGGGCAGGCAGAGAAAGCCAAGAGCCUCUACAAAGGGGAGGCUGGGGUAUGGUACAUGUGUAAACUCCACUAGAUACGAGUGCCUUUAAGAUUUCUUGUAUGUAUCUCCCUCACAAGAUUUAUGGACUAUGUAUUAAAUUCAUUUUUUCCCUCA